UACGUAGGGUGCAAGCGUUGUCCGGAAUUAUUGGGCGUAAAGAGCGUGUAGGCGGCCCGAUUAGUCCGCUGUGAAAGUCCAGGGCUCAACCCUGGAAUGCCGGUGGAUACUGUCGGGCUAGAGUCCGGGAGGGGCGAGUGGAAUUCCUGGUGUAGCGGUGAAAUGCGCAGAUAUCAGGAGGAACACCAAUGGCGAAGGCAGCUCGCUGGGACGUGACUGACGCUGAGACGCGAAAGCGUGGGGAGCAAAUAGG
RNAcentral lists this ribosomal RNA (253 nucleotides) under uncultured bacterium. RNAcentral's name for it is "partial 16S ribosomal RNA". It matches the Rfam family "Bacterial small subunit ribosomal RNA", at positions 524 to 776 of the family's 1533-position model. The record is from RNAcentral.